GACAGAGGGUGCAAACGUUGUUCGGAAUUACUGGGCGUAAAGGGCGCGUAGGUGGCCUUCUAAGUUGAACGUGAAAUCCCUGGGCUCAACCCAGGAACUGCGUCCAAGACUGGGAGGCUUGAAUCCGGGAGAGGGAUGCGGAAUUCCAGGUGUAGCGGUGAAAUGCGUAGAUAUCUGGAGGAACACCGGUGGCGAAGGCGGCAUCCUGGACCGGUAUUGACACUGAGGCGCGAAAGCCAGGGGAGCAAACGGG
RNAcentral lists this ribosomal RNA (253 nucleotides) under uncultured bacterium. RNAcentral describes it as "partial 16S ribosomal RNA". It matches the Rfam family "Bacterial small subunit ribosomal RNA", at positions 524 to 776 of the family's 1533-position model. The record is from RNAcentral.